CCUACGGGAGGCAGCAGUGGGGAAUAUUGGACAAUGGGGGAAACCCUGAUCGAGCGACGCCGCGUGAGUGAAGAAGUAUUUCGGUAUGUAAAGCUCUAUCAGCAGGGAAGAAAGAAAUGACGAUACCUGACUAAGAAGCUCCCGCUAACUACGUGCAAGCAGCCGCGGUAAUACGUAGGGGGCAAGCGUUAUCCGGAUUUACUGGGGGUAAAGGCAGCCUAGACGGGUAUGUAAGUCUGGAAGGAAAGCCCGGGGCCCAAACCCGGGACUGCUUUGGAAACUGUGUAACUGGAGUACAGGAGGGGGAGGCGGAAUUCCAGGUGUAGCGGUGAAAUGCGUAGAUAUCAGGAGGAACACCGACGGCGAAGGCGGCCUGCUGGACUGAAACUGACGUUGAGGCUCGAAAGCGUGGGGAGCAAACAGGAUUAGAUACCCUUGUAGUC
Molecule: ribosomal RNA, 443 nt
Filed under: uncultured bacterium
Lineage: Bacteria
Description: partial 16S ribosomal RNA
Rfam family: Bacterial small subunit ribosomal RNA
Source: RNAcentral